This 553-nucleotide long non-coding RNA is filed under the name Vulpes vulpes (red fox). RNAcentral describes it as "lncRNA (ENSVVUG00000023214.1)". The record is from RNAcentral. Lineage: Eukaryota; Metazoa; Chordata; Mammalia; Carnivora; Canidae.
UCACCCUUUUUCUUUUACAGGAACAGAUGUCUCUGAGAGGGAGAAAUCCUAUGAUUGAUGGCCGCACCUGUACUUCCCACUCCCUGAAUUUCCUAACACAUUUACAAAAGGGUCCUCAUUCUUUGAAAACACACAAGUAUGAAGCAGAGACCAGAAUAGCCAGAUGCUUCACUGCCAUGCUCCUGCUUAUGAAUCAGACCACCUGCAAGUGCCCCAGUUGUGAACAUGGCAGUCUGGACUGUGGGAAGACCUACUCAAGAUAAAACUGUUCUGCACUUGUCUGUGGCAAGAAUGAAUUAUCUUUUAGUAGAACAUUUGUUCCACUUAAUCGACCUAAACAUAGACUAAAUGCUGCAUCUCUGAAAGAAGAAGAGGAAGAGGAGGAAGAAGAAGAGGAAGAGGAAGAAGAAGAAGAAGAAGAAGAAGAAGAAGAAGAACAACAACAACAACAACAACAACAACAACAACAACACUACUUCUUUCCUUUUUCCCAUACCAACAUUUUCAUAACUUUCAUUCACUGAAUCAGAAUAAAUGAACUGAGUGUCAAGCA